RNAcentral lists this ribosomal RNA (492 nucleotides) under uncultured bacterium. RNAcentral's name for it is "partial 16S ribosomal RNA". It matches the Rfam family "Bacterial small subunit ribosomal RNA", at positions 29 to 507 of the family's 1533-position model. The record is from RNAcentral.
AGUGAACGCUGGCGGUAGGCCUAACACAUGCAAGUCGAACGGCAGCACAGUAAGAGCCUGCUCUAACGGUUGCGGGUUGGCGGCGGGUUGGGGAAUAAAUGGGAAUCCCUUUUUUCUGGGGGGUUAAGUAAGGGAAAUUUCCCCUAUACCGCAUUCGGCCCUAGGGGUGAAAGCAGGGGUUCUUGGCCCCUUGCCCGUUUGAUGGACCCGAUUCCGGAUUAGCUAGUUGGCGGGGUAAAGGCCCCCCAAGGCGACGAUCCGUAGCUGGUCUGAGAGGAUGAUCAGCCACACUGGAACUGAGACACGGUCCAGACUCCUACGGGAGGCAGCAGUGGGGAAUAUUGGACAAUGGGCGCAAGCCUGAUCCAGCCAUACCGCGUGGGUGAAGAAGGCCUUCGGGUUGUAAAGCCCUUUUGUUUGGAAAGAAAAGCAGCAGGUUAAUACCCCGCUGUUCUGACGGUACCCAAAGAAUAAGCACCGGCUAACUUCGUG